GUUGCGCCCGAGGCUUGUCCAAGGGCAUUUCCGCUAGAGCGUCACC
This 46-nucleotide ribosomal RNA is filed under the name Pseudohygrohypnum eugyrium. Its description in RNAcentral is "partial 5.8S ribosomal RNA". Lineage: Eukaryota; Viridiplantae; Streptophyta; Bryopsida; Hypnales; Pylaisiaceae. The record is from RNAcentral.